GUGGGGAAUAUUGGGCAAUGGGGGCAACCCUGACCCAGCGACGCCGCGUGAGGGAAGAAGGCCUUAGGGUCGUAAACCUCUGUUGUGUGGGAAGAAGGAAGUGACGGUACCACACGAGGAAGUCCCGGCUAACUACGUGCCAGCAGCCGCGGUAAUACGUAGGGGACGAGCGUUGUCCGGAAUUACUGGGCGUAAAGGGCGCGUAGGCGGUCAUUUAAGUCAGCUGUGAAAUGGUCCGGCUCAACCGGAUCAUGCGGUUGAAACUGGAUGACUGGAGUGCUGGAGAGGCAAGUGGAAUUCCCAGUGUAGCGGUGAAAUGCGUAGAUAUUGGGAAGAACACCGGUGGCGAAGGCGACUUGCUGGCCAGCAACUGACGCUGAGGCGCGAAAGCCAGGGGAGCAAACGGGAUUAGAAACCCCAGUAGUCC
This 427-nucleotide ribosomal RNA is filed under the name uncultured bacterium. RNAcentral describes it as "partial 16S ribosomal RNA". It matches the Rfam family "Bacterial small subunit ribosomal RNA", at positions 354 to 796 of the family's 1533-position model. The record is from RNAcentral.